CUUAUGAAGGCACUGCCUGAGUGACGGACAGGACCAGGGCGGGCCCGGGGCUGAGCGACCGGGGAGGAGCCUUUCAGGAAUUCCCUUUCCGGCUGAACACCGCGAGCUUCCCACAUUUUUCGUGCCCUAGGUGAGGGACGGCUCGCCGUUGCUGCCUGGGCUGCCACCAGCCGGCUCCAUCUCUCCGCCCGAGUGCGUCUGCCCUAGGCGAGGGCGUUGCAGAGGAGAUCAGACCCGCGAAGGAGGUUUCCAUCUUCCGGGUUUCCAUCUCGUCACUGGUCCCAUCUCAGUGAAAGCCAGCCAAGGGCGUCCACCUACCCCUGAUCUCGCCACGGGAUCGGUCCCAGGGCCAGGAAAUUCGCCUUUAGCGGCGGUCCCCGUGGCAGCCCUGGUUCGGCGUUGGUUUUGACCCGGCCCUCCUGUCCACUGUUGCAGAAACGCUUUCAGGAGUGGCCCCUGGGGCUGCGGGUCUUCUUGCGAUUCCUCCGAGACUCGCGGAGAUUCCUCCGAGUCUGCGCUUCCGCCCGGGCGCCCUCAUGCUGGCGCCGCCCGUCACCCUGCAGGCCUCAGGGUCCCGGAAUCACGGCACCCGCACCGAGCCUGCGCCGUAGCCCUCGUUACUGCUGCGGAGCGGAAGGCCUCGCUCCCCAUUCCUGGCCACGCCCCCUCUGUUCACCGGCCCCGCCUUACGCCCAACUGGCCCCACCCCCUUGGUGCCUCCGUUUCCCUGCUGUUCCCUGACCCCACCCUUACAGUGCAGUCCCCGCCCCUAAGGUUAAGCCCCGCCCACGUCUACCUUUUCCCCGCCGCUCUAUCCCAGGCCCCAUCCACCCUCCAUCUCCGGCCCCGCCCUGCAGUCAUUGGUCCCGCCCCUCCUUACCACACCUCCUCCCCCUGUUCAAGGGGCUCCUGAGGGGCUGAGAGUCUAGGUGUGCGACGCUUGGUCCAACACCUCUGCUUGCUUUCGCUCUCGGGUCCUGCGUGAAGCCGAGAGCCUGAAUGGGGAUCGUCCCGGCAGGGUAGCUCAGGUUGCCUGAAGGAGGAUCUUCCCUUGUCCUCUGGCUAUGGGGCUACUCUUUAGAACACCCUAGUCCGCAUCCUUGAGGUAAAGUGGUCCUCUUGCGGUCUCUAAAUUCCCUUGGUCAUGGGGAAGGGGGAGGAGCAGCUCCCAAGAGUAAUCAUAGCUAGUCCUGGGAGUUGGGGGUCUCCUGGAGAUCCAGGAGCCUCCCACGCUGCCUUCUCGCAGCUUUAUAUCUGUGGCCGCUAAAGUCCUGAAUGGAGGUGACGUGCGUCCUGCCCACUCUAGAGUCUCUCUAGCACCUUCCACUGAGUCCUUGCCCUUCUAGGCUCGUCUGCCCCCCAGGGACUAAGCCCCUCCAGACACUGGCUGGAGUGGGUCCCUAUCGCCUCACUGGGCUACAGGAACCCUGAUGGAUGGGUGGGCACUGGGCACACCUCAUGGAGGCAGGGCCAGGAGACCUAGAAAGCUCUGGUUCCAGGGCACAGAAGGGACCCACAGCCUUUACCCAUCAGUCCACCCCCCAUCAGUAUUCCAACACUUCCAGGCCACAUUACUGAAGUCAUGCUCUGCUCCAUUUAACCACAUCACUCCCCUUACCAUUGGGGGCGCCCCAUCUUUAAAAUAAAAUCCAAGAUCCACACCAUGGCCUAUGAGGCUCUGCUUGGUGGUCCAGCCUCUCUCCAACUCUCCCUUUUGCCCAUUACACUCUGGCCAAGAUGGCUUCUCUCUGUUCUUUGAACACACCCGUGUUUUUUUUCCUCUGGGCCUUUGCACAGGUCUUUCUCUCUGCUUGGAACUGGAUUGUAAGCCCUAUAAGAGUGGGGACUGUGUUUGGUUUUAUUUGACUCUGUAUCCCCAAGCAUUUAACCUAGUAAAUAAUAGACACUCAAUAAAUGCCAGCUGUAAUAGGUCUUAAUAAAUAAUUCUUGAAUCAACGUGCCUGAUGCUUUUCUACUGAUUUGUUCAAUCUUUACCACAGCCC
Long non-coding RNA from Equus caballus (horse), 2003 nucleotides. The record is from Ensembl. NCBI's taxonomy places the organism in Eukaryota, Metazoa, Chordata, Mammalia, Perissodactyla, Equidae.